RNAcentral lists this long non-coding RNA (211 nucleotides) under Pan troglodytes (chimpanzee). RNAcentral describes it as "long non-coding RNA NONPTRT013627". The record is from RNAcentral. Lineage: Eukaryota; Metazoa; Chordata; Mammalia; Primates; Hominidae.
UGUCAGAAAUCUGUUCCUUCAGCUGGCUCCACUGUUCUGGAUUUAAAGAAAUACCUAAAACAAAGUUUAAAAAUUCAAAGGUGAAAAUCUAUUUAAGCGUUGAGGAUUUUCAUACUUCCAACUAGAAUACUGUUUUAUCAAAAUUGCCACUUUAGGCUGGGCGCGGUGGCUUACACCUGUAAUCCCAGCACUUUGGGAGGCCAAGGCGGGU